AAAAAAAUGAUAACUAAAAUUUAGAGUAUAAUAGUGAAUUUAAAAGAUUUCUUUGAAAGACUUGGAACAAAUUCAAAGUUUAAAGAGAAUCAUUAUUAUGAAUUCUUGGUAAUCAUGUAUGUAGAAAACUUUUCUUGUGUUGUCAUUGAAGCAGAUAUUGAAAUUCAAGUAUAGAUGUCAAUUCCCAAGAUAUCAGCAGAAGACUCAAUGUAUCUUUCAAAAUUAAAAAAAAAAUCGUAUGCGUCGUCGUCGUUGUCUGCAUCGUCGUUGUCGUCUGCGUAGUCCGAAGACACAUUGGUUUCCGGAUAAUAACUUUAGUUUAAGUGAAUAGAUCUUUAUGAAAUUUUUUCAGAAGGUUCAAUACCACAAAAGGAAGGUUGGGAUCAAUUUUGGGGAUGAUGGUCCCAAUCGUUUAGGAAUUAAGGGCCCAAAAGGGGCCCAAAACAAGCAUUUUUUUCUAGUUUCAGGAUAAUAACAUGUGUACAAGUAUUUCAAUUGCUCUGAAAUUAUACCCCAAUGUUGAAAACCACUAGUAGAAGAUUUGAAUUCAUUUUAGGGGUUAUGGGCCAAAGUUUAGGAAUUAAGGGCCAAAAAGUGGCCAAAACAAGCAUUUUUCAAGUUUCCAGACAAUAACUUGUGUGUAAUUGUAUGGAUCUCUCUGAAAUUGUACCACAAUGAACCAUAUAACAAAGGGAAGGCUGGGAGUAAGUUUUGAAUUAAUUGCCCAAAAUAUGUAGGAAUUAGGAGCCAUAAAAGGACCAAAAAGAAGCAUGUUUCUAGUUCCCAAACAAUCAUGACAAUAACUUGUGUUUAAGUGUAUGGAUCUCUCUGAAAUUGUGUACUACAAGGUUCAAUACUACAAAGGAAAGCAUGGGAUUGAGUUUGAGGGUCAUUGCUCCAAGAGGGGUUUCAUUAAGUUGGGGGGGGGUGGGGGGGUUACCAUUUUUUUAAGGGAUUCCUUUUUUCAAAAAUUUUUCAAAUUUCGAAUUUUGAAAAGAUUUAAGAAGAAAUCUUCAAUUGCACAGUAUUGUGCAAUAGCUUUGUUAGAUCUUUGACCACAUAAUUUUUCUGACAAAAACCUAUAUUAUGUCAAAAAUUUGAUCACAAUCCAAAUUCAGACAGUAUCAAGCUUGAAUAUUGUGACCAAAUUUGCCCCAACUGUGCAGGGUUCUACCACUGGAGUUGUAUAAAGCUGCGCCCUGCGGAGCACCUGGUUAAACUUAUUAUUUUACUAAUUAAAAUGCUUUUAACAUUUAGAAAUGAAGAACACAAAGUUAAAUUGAAUAAUAUUAAAAACAAUAUGAAAAAUGUUUACAACAAAUGUUCUCUCCAAAUUUCAAUGCUACCCAAAGUUCAGGUUCAGUCAUUUACGUUUCUAUGUAUGGACUUUUCAUCGCUAGUUUUCAGUAAGAUAUCAUAACAUUCAGUUUAACAGCAGACGAUAUCAGAAUAAUGAUUUUCUCACUUGAGCCGGCAAGGUUGUUAUGACCAAUGUUAAUCUGUUUAUUGCUAAUUUUACCUAUGAUAAUGUGCCAACUUCAUUGGCAAUGCCACAUGCCCCCUUAGUUUCUAUUAAUAAUUUUCAUAUCACUCGACUUCGCUGAGAAAGGAAAUUAUCAGUCAGCAAGAUCAAAGAAAAAUUUCGUAAAAUAGCGAUAACUAUAAUUACACAUAUACAAAACAUGACAUGGUAUUUUUAGUGGUCAUUACAAAUUCAUAUUUUUAUUUUUGUUUUCUUUAUGUGUAUAUGUUAAGCUUGAUAUCUAUGAUUUUUUUAAAGCAUAAUUUUAGAAUUGUACUAAAGAAACAAUGAUACAUUGAGAAUACAUGUAGAAUAUGUAGAUUGAAUAAAAGUAUAUGUAGUUGUGUUUAUGAUGUUGAGGGCAUCAGUACACUUAUAGGUGACUUAUAAAUGGCAUAUUUUGUAAAUAUUAGUUAAGGACAUAAUUUGUUUCACUGUUUUUUUUUAAUAUGGCUCAAAGGAGUUCUAGGGUAUAUGACAAUGAGACCCAACAGUUAUAAUUAAUGGAAACAACAAAAGUAAAUUGAAAGAGUUUCAAUAGACCAAUGUUACCAUGAUAUAAAUCUGCUAUUUUUUAUGAGAUUCAACAAGUUAAACUUAACGUAAACCAACACAGUUAUGACUAUUAGAACAAUUGUAUAUGCCUCUUGAAAGAUGUGAAUACUAAUAAAAGGAGGAUAUGUCUAUAUAGAAUUCAAAAAUUCUAAAGGAUUUCCUUUUCCAUUUGCUUUCAACAUAUUAGUAUUUCAAGUUUUUCUUUUGAUAGUUGAGUUGUCUCUUUAUUUUUUUUAAAUGCAGUUGACCCUAGAUGAUCAAUGGGUUAUGAAUGGCCAGGUUACUCAAAGUACAAGUUUUCUAAUGAUAUUGCGCAAGUUGGUAAAAAAAAUAGUGAAAUAAUUUAUUGUUACUAUAAAACAACAUUUUCUUAUGAUGUACUGUUCAGUUUUCAUAUUAUUUCAUACAAGCUGAACAGAAAUAGUUUAGGGCUAUGAAUCUUUUAAAAGGCAAUGCAGAUUUCAUUGUAUUAUUAUAUUAUCAAAUUUGAUUAAAGCCAUGUUCCAUAAUUGAAUGUAUGAGCGAGGGUUAUGGAAUAAAUGUUAACUGUUAAUUUUUUUUUUAUAGCAGCUUUAAGAACCUUAUAGAAAUUGAAAAAAAAAAUAUUGUGGGUUGCUAGGAUUAUGGGAAAGUGUCUCUCUCUAUACCCCUGUCACUAACACACAUUUAAUUCUAAAUCAGCUCUCAAAGGAGAUCUAAUCUAUUCAUAGUGACAUCAGACAUUGAGUUUUCAGCUUAAAGUGCUAAGAUAUUUUUAUGUAGAAUUUUAAUUGCAAAAUAAAAUCCAAAUAGGAUGUAGUGUGCAUAAACAGUCUGCAUAAUGCAUUAGAUGCAUUAGACUACAGAUAUAGCUGGUAAUUUUGCAGUAGUACUGUAAAUUCUGAAAUUAUUGCGUGCUUUUAAUAUUGCGAUUUUGAGAAAAAUCCUGUUAAAUUCAUAUAAAAUAUUUCAAAAUGCGAGUUUAAAUUAUUGCGUUUACAACUCUGUCGCAAUUUUCGCAAUGAUAAAAACCUCACAUUAAUUUCUGAAUUUACAGUAUCUAGUAUAGGACAUUGUAAUCAGAUUAUGUUCACAUGUUAAACUUUCAUACAUUUUGAGCACUUUUAGAGCUUUGACUUUACUCAUAUAUCAUGUGAAAUUGUUAUUGUUAUACUUUUGUCUUCUUUGCUGUAUCAAUAGAAAUAUCAUGUUAGAGUUAAAGUGAUAUUGUUUAAUAUUUUAUGCAUGUUAUAGAGUCCAUGUAUGUUUAGUCUUGUUAUCUUUCAGAUUUUUAUUCUACGGCUUGAUCAGAUAUCUCAAAUGUUUUUAUCAAUGCACUCAAAAGUCAAAUUUGUAUCUCAUUGGUAAUUAGAUAAACAGGACUUUAUUUAGAAGUCUGAAGUAAAAUAUUCUGUCUGAUAUGAAAUAAAGUAUAAA
RNAcentral lists this long non-coding RNA (3493 nucleotides) under Mytilus galloprovincialis (Mediterranean mussel). The record is from RNAcentral. Lineage: Eukaryota; Metazoa; Mollusca; Bivalvia; Mytilida; Mytilidae.